AUUGAACGCUGGCGGCAUGCCUUACACAUGCAAGUCGAACGGUAACAGGUCUUCGGAUGCUGACGAGUGGCGAACGGGUGAGUAAUACAUCGGAACGUGCCUAGUAGUGGGGGAUAACUACUCGAAAGAGUGGCUAAUACCGCAUGAGAUCUACGGAUGAAAGCAGGGGAUCGAAAGACCUUGUGCUACUAGAGCGGCCGAUGGCAGAUUAGGUAGUUGGUGGGAUAAAAGCUUACCAAGCCGACGAUCUGUAGCUGGUCUGAGAGGACGAUCAGCCACACUGGGACUGAGACACGGCCCAGACUCCUACGGGAGGCAGCAGUGGGGAAUUUUGGACAAUGGGCGAAAGCCUGAUCCAGCAAUGCCGCGUACAGGAUGAAGGCCUUCGGGUUGUAAACUGCUUUUGUACGGAACGAAAAGCCCCGGGUUAAUACCCUGGGGUCAUGACGGUACCGUAAGAAUGAGCACCGGCUAACUACGUGCCAGCCGCCGCCGUAA
Molecule: ribosomal RNA, 498 nt
Filed under: uncultured bacterium
Lineage: Bacteria
Description: partial 16S ribosomal RNA
Rfam family: Bacterial small subunit ribosomal RNA
Source: RNAcentral